Molecule: ribosomal RNA, 465 nt
Filed under: Vreelandella stevensii
Lineage: Bacteria; Pseudomonadati; Pseudomonadota; Gammaproteobacteria; Oceanospirillales; Halomonadaceae
Description: partial 16S ribosomal RNA
Rfam family: Bacterial small subunit ribosomal RNA
Source: RNAcentral
CCUACGGGCGGCAGCAGUGGGGAAUAUUGGACAAUGGGGGGAACCCUGAUCCAGCCAUGCCGCGUGUGUGAAGAAGGCCCUCGGGUUGUAAAGCACUUUCAGUGAGGAAGAACGCCUGGUGGUUAAUACCCAUCAGGAAAGACAUCACUCACAGAAGAAGCACCGGCUAACUCCGUGCCAGCAGCCGCGGUAAUACGGAGGGUGCGAGCGUUAAUCGGAAUUACUGGGCGUAAAGCGCGCGUAGGUGGCUUGAUAAGCCGGUUGUGAAAGCCCCGGGCUCAACCUGGGAACGGCAUCCGGAACUGUCAAGCUAGAGUGCAGGAGAGGAAAGUAGAAUUCCCGGUGUAGCGGUGAAAUGCGUAGAGAUCGGGAGGAAUACCAGUGGCGAAGGCGGCCUUCUGGACUGACACUGACACUGAGGUGCGAAAGCGUGGGUAGCAAACAGGAUUAGAUACCCUGGUAGUC